This 303-nucleotide long non-coding RNA is filed under the name Phaseolus vulgaris (common bean). Its description in RNAcentral is "long non-coding RNA (PVUL_LNC001093)". The record is from RNAcentral. Lineage: Eukaryota; Viridiplantae; Streptophyta; Magnoliopsida; Fabales; Fabaceae.
AGCCCAAUCACAAUGUAAUUUUUUGUUUCUGAAUGGACUUUUUCAAUUCUUUUAGGUUUCUUUUCUACUCUGAGUUAAGAUCAGCCCGAUUUGCAUUUGCACAUAUAGAACAAAUAUUCUAAAAAACUAUGUCUUUUUAUUAGAACUUCUUCCUUUUCUGAAUUUAUUAAUGUUUUCUGUAAAAUAGAAUAUAUGGAUAUGAUAGAAGUAGUGAUCAUAGCUAUAUUACCAAUUGGUUUUUUCUAGACAAAGUUUCAGUACUUGAUUUUCUUGGUCCAAUUAAGCCAACCAUAAAUUAUUCAA